This 1828-nucleotide unclassified non-coding RNA is filed under the name Hevea brasiliensis (rubber tree). Lineage: Eukaryota; Viridiplantae; Streptophyta; Magnoliopsida; Malpighiales; Euphorbiaceae. The record is from RNAcentral.
GCUUGAUAUUCCAUGGUAUAAGCACCAAAAUAUGUACCAGUUCUUUUGAAAGUAAUAACAAAACUGUUUAUUAUUGAUUUAGAAUAAUAGAAACUGUAGCUAGGAGUCAUACUCAUAUAUACAUGGCAGGUAGUGGCAAAAUGCCUUAACCCAAAACCAUCCUACAGGACAAACAUACACAGAAAAUUGGUAGUGGACACUGGACAGAUGGGAAGAAUGCACCCAUUGCAGAGGAAAACUAGGAACCCCGAAUCUGUUUCUUCAAAGAAUGCGAUGAUUUGCUCAAGUGAAAGAGGCCAAUCUUUCCAGAGUAUCACUAACAAUCCUCAUUAAAGGUCUCUUAUCAGGGCUGAUGUGAACGCAGGCUAGAGCGAUGUCAAGUACUGCAAUCAUCUCAUCUCUCUUCUCCAAAUCAUGAACCAAGAAAGGAUCUAACACAUGAGAGAGUGGCUUGAUUUCUGUGCUAAGCUGAAUCCAUUGAACAAGACCCAUUUCUGAUGAACCUGUCUGCGUAACUGGUGACUUCCCAGAAAUCAUCUCCAGUAAAAUCACUCCGAACGAAUAAACAUCCCACUUCUGUGAUGGCUUGGAGGCUUUUGAGGCCUCAGGAGCUUCAUAGUAAGACAUAAUUGGGCUUGAAUUUGUUGCUGUGAGCGCAUAUGGAGACCCUUGUUGUGGUGUGCCCCUUGCCAUAUGUUCUAAAUUAACUACUAGUGAUUCUUCAGCUGUGUAAGCUAGACGAUUAAGUCCAAAAUCAGUGAUUCUUGGUUCCAUCUUCUCUCCAAGCAAAAUAUUGCUAGGCUUUAGAUUUCCAUGGACAUAUUUUUUGGGGCUGAAUUCAUGUAGAAAAGCCAAUCCCUUUGCCACUCCUUUCAUGAUUCUAAGACGAGUAGACCAAGAAAGAGGUUUGAAGUAUAUCAAUCCUGUUCUUCCAUGAAUUGCUGUGGCAAGUUCACCAUUGGGCAUGUAAUCAUAGAUUAGCAGCUUCUCAUUGAUACACCAGCAAUAAGCCAGAAGACUGACUAUGUUUGGAUGCCUAAUCUUUCCAAUUGAUUCCACUUCAGCUUGAAAGUCCCUGUACCUUUGAGAACCUCCAUCUUCCAGUCUUCUAACUGCUACAGUCGGUCCCUUUUCAAGGACAACUUUAUAGACAAUUCCUAUUCUGCUCUUUCCCAGAAGAAAAGCAGAAGCUUUCAGAAGUUGUUCGAGAUCAAAUUUAACCUGUGAGUCUAAGGGUAUGAAAAUGCAUUGCUCCAUAUUUUCUGAUAGAGACUCCAAGUCAUCUGUUCUGAAGCAGAACAUUUCCUUUCUAACUAUCGAUUUCUCUUCAAAAUUACUUUCCUUGACACGUUUGCCCCCUUUACAAACAUAGAAUUUCCUAUACCAAUAAGAGAACAGCACACUGAUGAAACAAAUUCCCAACACUGUACAGGCAACAAUUGUAAUCACAAAACAUCGGCCCCGGCCAGAGCUGCCUCUUGGAAAAAUUUGAGUAGGUUCAUAUAGUAAGGGUUCUGGUUUUGCAGGGCACACAGUUUUCAAUGGGAUCCCACAGAGGAGAGGGUUGCCCAUAAAAGCUGUUGGUCCUACAUUCAGUAGAACAUCAUUUAGUGGUAUGGCACCGCUGAGAUUGUUGUAAGAAAGAUUGAUAUAAACUGAUAUAGGAAGAUUUCCUAGACUUGCUGGGAUUGAACCAUUGAAAAGAUUGUGAGAUAGGUCAAGCACUCCUUGCAAGCUCGACAAAUUGCCUAGGUCGCUGGGGAUCAAACCACUAAAGAUAUUGAAUGAAAGAUCAAGUUUCUGAAGCAUUACCAAACUGGUUCCGAAC